UUGGGAACACUGAUAAACCCAGAGGCGAAAUGAAAGUGAAAGGCCGGCCUCGAGCCGGUCGCAGGGAAGAUGCGCGGGCGUCGUCAGACGCCCCGCCGCAUUCCCGAGGCGUUUCGAGAAAGCCCCCGUGCGAUUAUCGAGACGCACUGAGAGCGUACACGCUGGGACCCGAAAGAUGGUGAACUAUGCCUGGUCAGGUCGAAGUCAGGGGAAACCCUGAUGGAGGACCGAAGCGAUUCUGACGUGCAAAUCGAUCGUCCGAACUGGGUAUAGGGGCGAAAGACUAAUCGAACUAUCUAAUAGCUGGUUCCAUCCGAAGUUUCCCUCAGGAUAGCUGGCGCUCGAGAAACAUGACGGUCCUCGGAUCGCCAUUCGCACAGUCUCAUCCGGUAAAGCGAAUGAUUAGAGGCAUUGGGGCCGAAAUGGCCUCAACCUAUUCUCAAACUUUAAAUGGGUGAGAUCUCCUUCUUGCUCGAAGAUGAAGUAGGAGCUCGGAUGGGAGUGCCAAGUGGGCCAAUUUUGGUAAGCAGAACUGGCGCUGUGGGAUGAACCAAACGUCGAGUUAAGGCGCCCAAUGAACGCUCAUCGGAUACCAUAAAAGGCGUUGGUCGCUCAGGACAGCAGGACGGUGGCCAUGGAAGUCGGA
Molecule: ribosomal RNA, 646 nt
Filed under: Annitella apfelbecki
Lineage: Eukaryota; Metazoa; Arthropoda; Insecta; Trichoptera; Limnephilidae
Also listed under: 9 other names
Description: partial large subunit ribosomal RNA
Rfam family: Eukaryotic large subunit ribosomal RNA
Source: RNAcentral